This 493-nucleotide ribosomal RNA is filed under the name uncultured bacterium. Its description in RNAcentral is "partial 16S ribosomal RNA". It matches the Rfam family "Bacterial small subunit ribosomal RNA", at positions 30 to 526 of the family's 1533-position model. The record is from RNAcentral.
AUUGAACGCUGGCGGCAUGCUUUACACAUGCAAGUCGAACGGUAACAGGUUAAGCUGACGAGUGGCGAACGGGUGAGUAAUGCAUCGGAACGUGCCCGGUCGUGGGGGAUAACGCAGCGAAAGCUGCGCUAAUACCGCAUACGAUCUGAGGAUGAAAGCGGGGGACCGUAAGGCCUCGCGCGAUCGGAGCGGCCGAUGUCCGAUUAGGUAGUUGGUGGGGUAAAGGCUCACCAAGCCAACGAUCUGUAGCUGGUCUGAGAGGACGACCAGCCACACUGGGACUGAGACACGGCCCAGACUCCUACGGGAGGCAGCAGUGGGGAAUUUUGGACAAUGGGCGAAAGCCUGAUCCAGCAAUGCCGCGUGCAGGAAGAAGGCCUUCGGGUUGUAAACUGCUUUUGUACGGAGCGAAAAGGUCUCCUCUAAUACAGGGGGCUCAUGACGGUACCGUAAGAAUAAGCACCGGCUAACUACGUGCCAGCCGCCGUAACAC